AGUGAACGCUGGCGGCAGGCCUAACACAUGCAAGUCGAGCGGCAGCGCGUCCGACCACCCUCGGGUGGUCGGAUGGCGGCGAGCGGCGGACGGGUGAGGAAUGCAUCGGAAUCUGCCUCGUUGUGGGGGAUAACGUAGGGAAACUUACGCUAAUACCGCAUACGACCUACGGGUGAAAGUGGGGGGACCUUCGGGCCUCACGCGAUGAGAUGAGCCGAUGCCGGAUUAGCUAGUUGGCGGGGUAAAGGCCACCAAGGCGACGAUCCGUAGCUGGUCUGAGAGGAUGAUCAGCCACACUGGAACUGAGACACGGUCCAGACUCCUACGGGAGGCAGCAGUGGGGAAUAUUGGACAAUGGGGGCAACCCUGAUCCAGCCAUGCCGCGUGUGUGAAGAAGGCC
RNAcentral lists this ribosomal RNA (400 nucleotides) under uncultured bacterium. Its description in RNAcentral is "bacterial SSU rRNA". It matches the Rfam family "Bacterial small subunit ribosomal RNA", at positions 30 to 416 of the family's 1533-position model. The record is from RNAcentral.